GAACAUGAGUUAACUAUGUGACGGCUUUACAAACUCUCCUGAUCUGAAGUGUCUGAAAUAGCCUGUGGCGGAAACAUUUGUAAUAUUUGGCCAGUGGUGGCAAAUGGCAGCCUGGCGACAGUCUACCGUGAAAGAACCUGCCCUUGAGGCCUGGACGUUUGUGGUGACUGGACGAAUGCUACAUUGUCCAGCAGUUUGGUGUUAAAAGAUCAAUAGAGGGUCCAUCAGUGUGUCCCGUGGCUCACCUCUCAGCGAGACCCCUCUUGGUCAGGCCUGAGAUGAUGAUGGGGUCAAAGGGCUCCUCGGUGCCGGAGAUGGUGAUGCCCAGCGGGCCGCCGUAGCGCUUCAGCUCCACCGUGUAGAUGAUGGAGCCGGACGACUCCUGCUCGUCUGGACAGAGGACACACUUCUGCUGUCACACGUCACACUACAUUCAACUGACAAGCAUUCAUUUCAACAUAUUCUGAAUAUCCAAUGAAUAAUUGAACACUGUGAACAGAAGAGCUCAGUGUUUACAUCUCUUGAUUCGCUCCUGGUGCUGCGAAACAAAACAAAGGUAAAACAACAGACAUUUUCAUUUCAAAGCAACGAUAAAACGUUUCGAUUCAUCUGCAUCUUUGACCACAGACGGUGUUUUACCCUCAUAACAAAAAAAAAAAGACAGAUAUAAAAAAGUUACUACGUAAUUCCCAUCCAUGUAUUAUUUUUAUAGUUUUUAAUGGUUUACUAUUGUUCUCAAUGUGGAAAAUAGUAAUAAUAAAGAGUGAGUAGGUGUG
Molecule: long non-coding RNA, 776 nt
Organism: Carassius carassius (crucian carp)
Lineage: Eukaryota; Metazoa; Chordata; Actinopteri; Cypriniformes; Cyprinidae
Exons: 2
Source: RefSeq, a predicted model, not a curated record